Aegilops tauschii subsp. strangulata is the source of this 1308-nucleotide long non-coding RNA. RefSeq lists it as uncharacterized. Lineage: Eukaryota; Viridiplantae; Streptophyta; Magnoliopsida; Poales; Poaceae. The record is from RefSeq and is a predicted model, not a curated record.
GCUAUUUUAUAUAGCAUCAGAACAACCUAGUAUUCUAAGGAUGCCUCACUUUGAAAGGUAUUCCAUCAUCCGGAGGACUCUGCAUCAUAUAUGAUAUUGAUUAGUUAGAUGGACUCUGCAUCAUCCUAGAACACCACGGUCUCUGUUAGUGGUAUGCAUGCAUUAGAAACACAAUAUGUCUGUAUGUAAUCUAACUUGCAGUGUGUGUGUGGCAUGCAGGGAGGUGGUGAUCAGGUGAACAACAUAUGCCUGGAAGACCUCUGGCACAGUGGCGGUGUGCAAGCAACGUCCUGUUGCAUUCUACAUUGCAUUCUAUUGGUACUGUCUGUCAUCUCGUGUCAGCGUCUCAUUAUCGUGUACAAUCUAAAUGAGUAAUUCGGAGUCGCUUGUGUUUGAUUUCAGUUCAUAAUUUUGUGAUAUGCUCUUGAUCUUGUUCUGUUCCAUACUAGGGAGCUUCUUCUCCUCUCAUGUUGUUGCUGUCGUUUUGGUACUAGGUAGAAUGAGUCCUUGAGCUUGAUGAUGACAGAUUGUACACUGUCUUGCUCCAGUGUUACAUAAUUGUUAUCACAGUACACACAUACCUCGUUGUUGUCCAUGGAUCUUGUUCUCUGCUGCCAGCAUUGACUGGUUGUAGUUGUUUCGGCAGAUCACAUCACAUUCACAUGGGCGCAUGUGUAGCACUGACUGGUUGUACACACAUAAUGUUGGCUGGUUGUACACACAUAAUGUUGGCUGUUAUGUAUUGAUUUUAGUAUCAAAAAUGGCUCAAACCUGAAGUACUUAAAAUAGAUUGGUGUUCCUUUCUUGUUUGUUUUGAUACCCAUAUACCCAUAAAUCAGGGGGAAAUUAUUUCCUGGAUAGGUGUUUUCUUUUGUGAAGUUAGUGGAUGUUGAUCAAGUCCCCCUUUCCGCUGUAUGAAACGUUUCUCCUGUUGUACUUAAAAAGCUUUCCGCUGAUGGCAGGAAGAAGAAGGCUGUUCACAAGAAGAUGGCAGGAAGAAGCAGGCUGAUUCAAUUCGAUCCUCAAGAUGCUGGCCUUUCAUGUUUCUUCACGAGCAUCAGGACAAGGAAGUUGGAAGAAGCAUAGUUCUAGCUCAUUGGAGCUAGUUCUGGGAGCAAUGAAACCCUUUAGGCUGAUCCUAUUUGUAUGUGUGUUAUAUGAUGUAGCAGAACUUGUAGGGCUCAUGUGAUAGACUCGUGUGGUAGACUGUACACUUGUAGAGCUGUUAUCUAAUUGUAAACUUGAUGCUGAUCACAUUUGUAUGUAUGUUAUAUGAUGUAGCAGAUUGCUUCUUGCUGUUAUUUGAAA